UCUUUCCUCAUGUGCAUAUAUAAUAGCAAGGAAGAACUGACAUUGACCUCUAGGGACGGAAGGGGUAAAGCAUGGAAGGCUUCCUGGAGGAGGAUGCAACUGAGCUGGACAGGGAUGAACUCUGUUAGCAAGAUUUCCAAAGUCUGAGAUGACUAGAACCGAAGGAAAAGGCAUGUGCAAAGGACUAACUGGGGGAGUUGGGCACUGAGGGAUGGACAUAGGUGUAGAAGACAAUAUGAGCAAAGAUUUGAGUAAUUUAGCAGGACCUGGAAAUAUGGCAGUUUCUCCCCAUAGACCUGAAGAGAGUGGACAGUCUGCCUGUCAAUCAUUGUAGCCCCUCCAAUGAUGACGUUUGAGGGUGGGACCAUACAUAGAAAGGAGGUUAAAGAAGCCCUACCACGUGACCGGGCAAGUUUCCUUUAAAAUUUGGAUUGUACCUUGCGGCUUCCGUGGACCGUUCCACUAAGGGAUUAUGUAAAAUGGCGGUUACCUUUUCGGCGAUCUCAAAAAAUGCUGCAUGAUUGGGUACUCUGGCCCCACCAACCACUUUCAGAAAUUCCCCUGGAUAAGGGAAAGAGGAAGUUUGUCCCAUCCACUCAUCUUAUGAGUUUCCAAGUUACCUAAUUUUCCUGCAGUGGUGCUAAGCUGACCUGCCACAGGUACAAGUGUAAUUUUUUAUCAUGGAUCUGAAUGCAGUUAAAUCCACCUCCAUUUAGGAAAGGGGAAAAGAUGAGAUCUGUACCCCAGGGCCAGCAGAUAUCCUCAGAGAGUAUUGGGCAUCUCUUUGGAAAUCAACCUCUUUAAUUCUGCUACGAUGCCAGGAGGUUGCCCAGCAAUGCACACUUUACCUUGCUCUGAGCUGCGGUCUUUUGUGGCUCACUUGGACAGCUUACACUGAAGCUGACGUGGGUCAGCAUCAAGUUGGGGCCACAGGGGGUUUGUUAACUGGCAGUGCCAAAAAGUUCUCCUCUCUUUGCUUCCCUGUGUAAAGUUACUUCUUUUCUGGGCACUGGUUAAUUUGUUGAAAAUCAGGUGAAAGCUUUUGACAGUGGGUCAGGAGAGCGUUGAGCGUAAAUAUGAAUUACUCGAGGGUGCAUCCAAAGGCACUUCUGACCUUUAGUUUUAUAGAUCACUCCGCCCUCUGUUGCUUUAUUAGCACUGGUUUAAUCCAGAAGGUGGCAUCACAGAACCUGAUGGGAACUCAUCAAAGAUUAAAAAAAAAAAAAAAAAAAAAAACCAUUUCUUUGUGAUCAGACACUAAAGUAUGUAGCCUUUUUACAACAUAGUGACAUUUUAAAGACUUCUCUAUCCCUACAAUUGGUUAAAUUAUUUUAAAGCUGUGGGAGGUAAAAACCUGAGGUUUGAGGUACUUCGCAAAACCUGUACCCAAACCCAUGUUCCUUUCCCAGGUGGUGUGACAGUGACCAAUACUGGCUUAUCUGCUUGUCAAAAGCAGCUGUUCGAUUGAACAACUGUGAUGCCUCCUUCCCCUUCCACACAUGCUUGUGCCCACUGCCCGUCAAAAUCAUCUUGGGUCAUUUCAUUGAAGGGAAGGGCUGGGGAAGGUCUAAAUGAAUGGUUUAUGGGUAAAUCUGCUGAGUACUGGUACUUAAAAAUACGUCACUUAAAAAUAAUUCCAAAAGGGUGACUCUAACUGGUGGCAUUUUCAAAGUCAGGACUCUCAGGGGGAAGAGAAGGUGACCCUCCUCAGAAUUUAAGGUGGGACUGGCUUGGUGGUUCUUCCCCAGGAGGCUGUUCCUGGGCCAGCCAUAUUGCCCACCUCGUGAGGCCUGUACUCAGCCAAUGUCUCCCCUGCAGCGGGAAUGUCCGUGUGCUUUCAGUUCAUGGUGUGAAGUAUUCCAUGUCAAACCUGUGUUUGCCUUAAGUGCUUCUUCAUUCCUCUGAUUGAUGUGGGUGAUGGAAAGAGGAUGGAUAUUGAAUGCUUUAAGGCAAGGCCUUUGAAAUAGAGUGUAUUCCUUGUUACAUGUAAACUCUUGGAUGGCCAAUAAUAUUUCAUUGUAGAUAUAUACCACAUUUUUUUUAUCCAUCGAUCUUGUUGAUGAAUGCUUGGGUUGCUUCCAUGUCUUAGCUGGUGUGGAUGCUGCCGCAGUGAACACUGGGGUUUGGAUAAGCCUUUGGGAUAGCGGCUUCUUUUCCUUUAUAUAAAUAUGCAGACAUGGGAUGGCUGGAUUAUAUGGUAGUUCUAUUUCUAAUUGUUGAGCAGCUGCAAUGCUGUUUUCCAUAGUGGCCCUUCCAGUUGAUGUGGGUGAACACAUCUUGAACUAAAUGGAUUUCAGGGUUGGUUCUCCAGCCCCUUCUGAUUGUCUGUUCUUUUAAGGAGAGGAACUAGAGAGGUUCGGGGCUUCACGGGGGCUCAAGGGGCAUCUAUGAUCAGGAAAGAUGGAAUCACUGAUUAAUAGGGUCCUUCCUUCAGGAGAUGGGGAGAGGGCUGGGCAGAGUGGCCCUCCCUUUGUAGAGCUGCCCUCAGAGCAUGGGGAGAAAGCAGGCAGGAGGAACUCUGGGUCCCUGUAUUGGACUUUUGUGUGUCCAAGGAUGUCUUCUGCCUACUUCCCUGUCAUUGGCUCUACUUAGGAUCAGCAUAGCUGGAGGACAAAAGGCCGAUGAUGCACAUUAUUAAAUGUGACAUGAGCACAUAGGACCCUCUGACAAAGGUGAAAUCCUUAUGAUGGGGUCUGUUCUUUAUUUUCCCAGCUUCCCUGAGAAUUUGGGACUUUGCUCCUGGGGAAGGCUUUGUUGUUUCUGCUUCUCUGUGCGCUGCCUUAGCCUAUGAAAAGUGGCCCAAAGAAUGGCGGCCCUUCACCCUCCUGUACUGUUUUCUAGUCCAGGGGAGCCUUCCUAGAGGUGAUUUCUGUGGUUUCUGGCAACUAAUCGGACGUGGCUGGGUUGACCGCUCAGUCUUUCAUGUUGAUAGUGACCUGUGUUCUCCCGGAGAGCUUAAUGAAGGUGAACUGCUGCUGUUGGCAUGUUCUUUAAUUCACCGGCCAGACAAUUCUUCCCUUGACAUUCCCAUGGCUCAAGUGACUUGUCAAAUUCCUACAGAAAAUGCGUACUGGCUGGCAAUGGCAGCGUAUGGGGCAUGGGACAGAUUGGGUCCCAGGGAAGAAAUUGGCCAUGGCUGAUUGUCAGACUUCUGUGCUCUGACACAAAGAUAUUGAACAGAGUAAUGUCCACCGUGCAGAGCAGUGGCAUAUGUGGGAUCUUUGGAAUCCCGAUUUUGUGUUUGGGACUGGGGUUGGAAUUCCAAGCAUUUCUCUAUUAACUUCCUUCACUCUUCUGCUGAGUAUACUCUGCACGUUGGUGGGAGGAGAAGCAGCGCGUGGGCGCUGUCAAUGAACUGUACGUGAGUCAGGGGACAUUUUGAUCCUCAUGGGCUUGUGCACGUGAACCUGGAUGUCUGGGAACCUCCUGGGUCAGGUCUCCAGUUAGAGGAUUAAGCCCUCCUGUUUCUUUUGCCGAGAAGGGCGUAUACCCACAGGCUGCGGUGUCCCUUCCCUUAUUUAUCUGCUACAAGUAGCCGCUUGGUCAUCCGACCCCUCUGCCAUUUUGGAGUUCUCUUGGGAGGCGAUGACUUUGCCUCCAGGGGAUCUUGCCUGUUGUAGACACCACAGUGUUGUACUGAAGCUACCAGAGGAGUGAGAGGAUAGGGGGGAGUUGCAGUUUGAGGAGGAGAGGGGUGUUACAGUUUCCCCAUUUCAAGUUCUUGCUUUCUCUUGAUAGGGAAAGCUUGGGCUCAGCAGGGAUAUGAGUACACUCUGAGAGUGUGAGGAAACUUGACAGCGGCGAGGACAAGGGACUCGGGGUGAAAGUGGUGGGCCUUGUGGGCUCAGGGGUGGGUUUCCUGCCUUUUCUCAUUCUCCUACACUACCUCUGGGGUGGCAUAACUGGGGGACAGAAGACAUUGGACAUUGCCGGAGAUGGUCUGAGAAACUACGACUGUCUCGUUGAAUGGAGACAUUUGUUAGGAUGAGAGGGGGGCCAUUUUCCAAUUUACCAAUGAGGGAUUUAUAGGUGCAUGGCCAUUAUGCUGUCUCAUUUUAAUUCUGUUACCGUAGGCCUAUGAACAAAGGCCUCGAGGGGAGUUAGCCCUUCACUCAGCUGUCUCUUUGCAGGUCUCAAUGACCUGAGGCCCUUCGGAGGAGGAACUACUGUUGCUCAUGCUGGUUUUGUUACCAGGAGAGUCUUUGUAGGCCCUCGGACACGGUCUUUGGUGGUCAGUCCCCUCUGCGCUUCUUGGGAGGGUGUAGCUGAGCCUUCUGUUUCGGCAGCUUAAGUCGUUCCCCUUCCCCUCGUUCUCAGGCCCUGCAGGGUCCCCGGGGACGCAUUCCUGGCCUGCACAAUUACCCAGAGGCUUGUCUAGCUUUUGAAAAAGAUUUGCCUCCUGUGCAGGGAGACCGGGAACCCACAUUCAGAAGUUUUCUGAAGUCAGUGUUCUCAGAAAAGGGAAGGGGAGGUCCUUUGCCUCCUUUGAACAGGGGUCACUUAACUUAUAGUUCUUAUUUUAUUUGCCCUUAUGACACGCUAGCAGGAGAUACCAGGUCCCCUUGGGAUUUGCGCCCUCCCCUGACUGGUGAGUCCCCAGCGCUGGCCACAGUUAGCGAGGCCUACGCUGAGAACUCCCUCGAGAGCUCUUGGUGCCAACAGCACCCAAGGGACAGUUCCUCAGUCCGAGCAGGGCUUCUCCUCCAGUCUGCUGCGGCUUUUACCCCUGCCUGUGUUCUCAGGGGGAGCUCUAGCUGGGCCACAGAGACCACUGCAGUGAGGUUUGAAACUACAAACCUUGUUUAGGGACGGUUCAGGUUGAUAUGCUGAUGUCAGCCGUCCACUGACAAGUUGAACUGUGCUAUUCCUCUCACACCCUCCCUUUCCUGAGUGCCCUGGAGCGGCAGAGGGGUGAUCUGUCUCCUUUGUGAGAAGCAGGACCGGACAGAAUACUUGGAGGGGAGGCUUCGGCUGCUGCGUUAUGGAGCCUUAGUGUGGAGGCCUCUCAGAAUGGGUGGGAAGGGGGCGCCUGGCUGGCUCAGUGGGUUAAAGCCUCUGCCUUCGGCUCUAGUCCUGGUCCCAGGGUCCUGGGAUCGAGCCCCGAAUCGGGCUCUCCACUCAGCAGGGAGCCUGCUUCC
This is a long non-coding RNA of Lutra lutra (Eurasian river otter), 5138 nucleotides long. RefSeq lists it as uncharacterized. The record is from RefSeq and is a predicted model, not a curated record. NCBI's taxonomy places the organism in Eukaryota, Metazoa, Chordata, Mammalia, Carnivora, Mustelidae. The transcript is spliced from 4 exons.